RNAcentral lists this ribosomal RNA (468 nucleotides) under uncultured bacterium. RNAcentral's name for it is "partial 16S ribosomal RNA". It matches the Rfam family "Bacterial small subunit ribosomal RNA", at positions 28 to 507 of the family's 1533-position model. The record is from RNAcentral.
GACGAACGCUGGCGGCGUGCUUAACACAUGCAAGUCGAACGGCAAGGCCCUGCUUGCGUGGGGUGCUCGAGUGGCGAACGGGUGCGUAACACGUGAGUAACCUGCCCUAGUCUUUGGGAUAACUUCAGGAAACUGAGCCUAAUACCGGAUAGGAGCUCCUGCUGCAGGGUGGGGGUUGGAACGUUUCGGCGGUUGGGGAUGGACUCGCGGCUUAUCAGCUUGUUGGUGGGGUAGUGGCUUACCAAGGCUUUGACGGGUAGCCGGCCUGAGAGGGUGACCGGCCACAUUGGGACUGAGAUACGGCCCAGACUCCUACGGGAGGCAGCAGUGGGGAAUAUUGCACAAUGGGCGGAAGCCUGAUGCAGCAACGCCGCGUGCGGGAUGACGGCCUUCGGGUUGUAAACCGCUUUCGCCUGUGACGAAGCGUGAGUGACGGUAAUGGGUAAAGAAGCACCGGCUAACUACGUG